Molecule: ribosomal RNA, 634 nt
Filed under: Hanseniaspora uvarum
Lineage: Eukaryota; Fungi; Ascomycota; Saccharomycetes; Saccharomycodales; Saccharomycodaceae
Description: eukaryotic LSU rRNA
Rfam family: Eukaryotic large subunit ribosomal RNA
Source: RNAcentral
UUAGGCAAAGGGUUGCUUUUAAUAUUCAUCAAGUUUGACCUCAAAUCAGGUAGGAUUACCCGCUGAACUUAAGCAUAUCAAUAAGCGGAGGAAAAGAAACCAACUGGGAUUACCUUAGUAACGGCGAGUGAAGCGGUAAAAGCUCAAAUUUGAAAUCUGGUACUUUCAGUGCCCGAGUUGUAAUUUGUAGAAUUUGUCUUUGAUUAGGUCCUUGUCUAUGUUCCUUGGAACAGGACGUCAUAGAGGGUGAGAAUCCCGUUUGGCGAGGAUACCUUUUCUCUGUAAGACUUUUUCGAAGAGUCGAGUUGUUUGGGAAUGCAGCUCAAAGUGGGUGGUAAAUUCCAUCUAAAGCUAAAUAUUGGCGAGAGACCGAUAGCGAACAAGUACAGUGAUGGAAAGAUGAAAAGAACUUUGAAAAGAGAGUGAAAAAGUACGUGAAAUUGUUGAAAGGGAAGGGCAUUUGAUCAGACAUGGUGUUUUUUGCAUGCACUCGCCUCUCGUGGGCUUGGGCCUCUCAAAAAUUUCACUGGGCCAACAUCAAUUCUGGCAGCAGGAUAAAUCAUUAAGAAUGUAGCUACUUCGGUAGUGUUAUAGCUUUUUGGAAUACUGUUAGCCGGGAUUGAGGACUGCGCUC